AGCGAACGCUGGCGGCAGGCUUAACACAUGCAAGUCGAGCGGGCACUUUCGGGUGUCAGCGGCGGACGGGUGAGUAACGCGUGGGAACGUGCCCUCUGGUUCGGAAUAACUCAGGGAAACUUGAGCUAAUACCGGAUACGCCCUUUUGGGGAAAGGCUUGCUGCCGGAGGAUCGGCCCGCGUCUGAUUAGCUAGUUGGUGAGGUAACGGCUCACCAAGGCGACGAUCAGUAGCUGGUCUGAGAGGAUGAUCAGCCACACUGGGACUGAGACACGGCCCAGACUCCUACGGGAGGCAGCAGUGGGGAAUAUUGGACAAUGGGCGCAAGCCUGAUUCAGCCAUGCCGCGUGAGUGAUGAAGGCCUUAGGGUUGUAAAGCUCUUUUAUCCGGGACGAUAAUGACGGUACCGGAGGAAUAAGCCCCGGCUAACUUCGUG
RNAcentral lists this ribosomal RNA (435 nucleotides) under uncultured bacterium. Its description in RNAcentral is "partial 16S ribosomal RNA". It matches the Rfam family "Bacterial small subunit ribosomal RNA", at positions 29 to 507 of the family's 1533-position model. The record is from RNAcentral.